UGCGGCUGGAUCACCUCCUUUCUAAGGAGCACACACCCCGACCACUCAGCUAGCUGGCCACAAGGUCCAGCGAUGUCUGGUGGCGCAUGGUGGUGUCUCACUAGUGGAAUCGUCGACACCAAUGCUUCUUCGGGAGCAGCUCCUUCGGGAGCGCCUUCUUCGGGGGGCGUGGUUCACCUGGGUCCCGCGUUGGUGGGAGCAGGGUCAAGCGCACUGUUGGGUCCUGAAGAAUCAGCCGGCCCCGGCUCGAGUGAUCGAGUCCGGGGGUUCCAGCUGGGGCUUCUGGUCCUCCUUCGCCGGACAUCCACGUGUUGUGGGUGGAUGGGGUUGGUGGGGUUGUUGUUUGAGAUCUGCAUAGUGGACGCGAGCAUCUGGCGACAUCACGUACUUGUGUGCGGGUGUUGUCUAGAGCAAUUCGUUUAAUGAGUUUGACACGAUCUGGCUAUUCCUUGGCUGGUCGUGUCGUUGUGUGAGGCCAGCCCUUGACUGUGAUUGUGGUGGGGGUUGGUUGUUGUUCUUUGUGUUUGUGGCGGCAGUUGUCGUUUCAGUGCAGCGCUUUCGAGUGUUGUGGUGUUUUGACGUUGUUGUGACAAGCUAUG
This 599-nucleotide unclassified non-coding RNA is filed under the name Nocardioides sp. SP12. Its description in RNAcentral is "partial intergenic spacer". Lineage: Bacteria; Bacillati; Actinomycetota; Actinomycetes; Propionibacteriales; Nocardioidaceae. The record is from RNAcentral.